GGUUUAUUACCCAAAGUUUGAGGUAAACAUUGAAACUGAACCCAAAGAAAUUUGGCGUUGGCUAUAAAUUUUGGAACGUCCUCCUUCAGGGGAGACAAA
RNAcentral lists this small nuclear RNA (99 nucleotides) under Caenorhabditis japonica. RNAcentral describes it as "snRNA CJA48961". Lineage: Eukaryota; Metazoa; Nematoda; Chromadorea; Rhabditida; Rhabditidae. The record is from RNAcentral.